Molecule: ribosomal RNA, 429 nt
Filed under: uncultured marine bacterium
Lineage: Bacteria
Description: bacterial SSU rRNA
Rfam family: Bacterial small subunit ribosomal RNA
Source: RNAcentral
AAUUUUCCGCACUGGGGGAAAGCCCGAGGGAGCAAUAAAAGCGUGAGGGAGAAAGGCUCCUGGGUUGUAAACCUCUUUUUUUCACAGGAAGAACACAAUGACGGUACCGGAGAAUAAGCAUCGGCUAACUCCGUGCCAGCAGCCGCGGUAAUACGGAGGAUGCAAGCGUUAUUCGGAAUGAUUGGGCGUAAAGCGUCCGCAGGCGGUUAUGCAAGUCUGAGGUGAAAGAGCGAGCUCACUCCAUGAGGGCAGUGUGAUACUGCCAGUUUGAGUCGUGAAGGGUUGAGGGAAUUUCUGGGGUAAGAGGGAAAAGUGUAGAAAUCAGGAAGGACACCCAGGGGGAAGGCGGUCUCAUAGGCCGUAUACGGCAGUGAGGGAGGAAAGGUAAGGGAGGGAAUGGGAAUAGAUACCCCAGUAAUCUUACGCGUA